This 490-nucleotide ribosomal RNA is filed under the name uncultured bacterium. RNAcentral describes it as "bacterial SSU rRNA". It matches the Rfam family "Bacterial small subunit ribosomal RNA", at positions 28 to 526 of the family's 1533-position model. The record is from RNAcentral.
GACGAACGUUGGCGGUGCGCUUAAUGCAUGCAAGUCGAACGAGAAGCAGCUCAUCCGUAAGGUUGAGCUGUGGACAGUGGCGAACGGGUGCGUAACACGUGAGAAACCUGCCCUGGAGACCGGGAUAGCCCGAGGAAACUCGGAUUAAUACCGGAUACCUUCACCGGAUCGCAUGGUCCUAUGAAGAAAUGGUCCGCCGCUCCAGGAUGGUCUCGCGGCCUAUCAGCUUGUUGGUGAGGUAACGGCUCACCAAGGCAGCGACGGGUAGCUGGUCUGAGAGGACGAUCAGCCACACUGGGACUGAGACACGGCCCAGACUCCUACGGGAGGCAGCAGCAGGGAAUAUUGCACAAUGGGCGCAAGCCUGAUGCAGCGACACCGCGUGCGGGAUGAAGGCUUUCGGGUUGUAAACCGCUUUCAGGAGGGACGAAAAUGACGGUACCUCCAGAAGAAGGCCCGGCCAACUAUGUGCCAGCCGCCGCCGUAACAC